This 2402-nucleotide unclassified non-coding RNA is filed under the name Hevea brasiliensis (rubber tree). Lineage: Eukaryota; Viridiplantae; Streptophyta; Magnoliopsida; Malpighiales; Euphorbiaceae. The record is from RNAcentral.
CGGGAAUGGUACAUGAGUGUUAACGCUCAGCAUGAGACACCGUGUGAGCUGUGAGCAUGGCAAAUUUACAACCAAGGUAGGUCAGCUGGUCAGGAUAUCUAGGUAGGAGGGUGUGCUGGUGGUUAGUCGUUACUGGUUAGCGAAGCACUAUUUGGGUUCACGUGGAGAAGAGAAAUUGAUUGGAGUUUCUAGUGAACAGAGGCGUGUUAGUGUGUGCUAAGUGUUGUGUGGGCUUGGUGAUGUUUUGAUGAGGUUGCAAUGUAAUGAUGUGCUGUAGAGAAAGAACAUGGCUCCGUUGACUAUAAGCAAUUUAGAUUAAGAUAGUAGAGGCUGGUGUUUUUCCUACUCAAACAGAGAGAGAAAAAAGAGAGUGGUGAUCGAUGAGCUUGGAGGAAGAUUACAGGAACCUGAAGCAGUCAGCUGAAGCCAAAAUAAAUGGGGAGGCUGAAAAUAAUUUUUCAAGAAAUAGAUUUUCUUCUCUUUUAGUCUCCAAAGAUCGUGAUUUUCUUCUCUCUCCCGAUGGAACUAAGGUUUUUCCGUUCUCCUCUCUCUCUUCUUCUGUAUAUUUUAUCGUUUCCUUGAACUACACUGCGCAGCAGCUAGCUUCUCAAAGAAAAUUAAGUUUUUUAUAUUUACUUAAAAAGAAAAAAUCAACAGGUUUUCUUCUUUCAUUUCAUGUAACAUGGUGAGAUGCUGAAACUGAUGCUGGCGUCUGGUGGCCUGGCCUCAGUAUACUUUCCAAAGCUUCUAGUAUUCUGUCAACUUUUUUUUUUCACUGAUAUAUUUUAUGUUUCUGAUCAACUGUAUGGUAGUGGUUUUGAUGAUCUCAGGACUUGGAUCGAGUUUACUUUAACCAUAUUCAAGGUCUACACAUGGAUAAAAUCGAAGAAAAUAAUUAAAAAAAAUUCCAUUUAAGUAGCAUAUAUCACCUAGGAACUUUAUAGAACCAUUGUCUUGAACUGUUAAUUUUCUCAUUCCAGGAAAUUAAACUCUUGUGUUUCCUUGUAUGAAUCCUUCCUAAAAACAUAGAGGAGUCCUACUUAUUUUAUGCUAAAUAAGUAAUUAAUUUAAUAAUUUCCUUUUUCCUAUAAAUUAAAUACGUACAAGCGGGCAUGAGGAUAAAACUGAUAAACGUUGGUUCUAUUUAUUUAGCUCCAUUGGUCCUACUUAUCGUUGGACACAUAAACCAGCAGGAGUUAUAACAAAAGGAGAUUGUUGGUUAUUGUAUUGUGCUUUCAUAUCGUGUAAAGCUGAAUUUUUGUAUUCCGCUGGUGAUCUUUAUCUUGUCUGCAAUCCAACGGUGCCCUAACGAAGUUCGUGGUAGAUUUUUAUAUUUUCGAAAUUCUUGAAGGGAUGAGAUUGACCUUCUGUAUCAUUAGACGUGUGAAACACUGAGUUGCUGUCCAAUGCGAAGUUCAUGAAUGAUAAUAUCCUCCUCCUCCUGCUGCUUCUGCUUCUGUUUCUUGUUCCUAUCGCUUUUGUUCCUGUUGGUGGUGGGGGGAAGUGGUUGUUGAGUGGGUGGAUGUAUGCUCAUUCGGAUGCGGGUUCUCAUGCCCUACACAUCACAAAUAUGUAUGCAGUCUUAAUCAGAGGGGGUUCCCACCUCCUACACAGCGGCUGUCAAUGAAACAGCAAGCUGUGAGGACGUGUCGCUACCUAAUACUUACUUUAGCCUUAAAUUAACGCUAUUGGUACAACACGUGGGCCGUCCACAACUCAUGCAAUCUGGCAGCGCUGACCUGCUAUUUUCAUAAUUUUUGGGAAUGAAUUCUCUGUUGUAACUUGUUAUCUUCCCAUUGGUUCAUUAAGUUUCGUAUUCGUUACCAUUGUAUGCACCUUGGAACUGAAAAAUGCAAGGAAAUUGCAUGUGGAAUCUUGUGUUAUAAUCUGGGCAUUAUCUUAUCUGGCAGGUGGAAGUUUCUGAACUUGAAGGCAAGGUCGUAGGCCUCUACUUCUCUGCUAACUGGUACCCACCAUGCAGAAACUUCACACAGAUCCUAAUUGAUGCAUACGAGCACCUAAACAGCAACGGGUGUAAUUUUGAGGUUGUGUUUGUGUCAUCUGAUGAGGACUUAAAUGCCUUCAACAACUAUCGAGCAUUGAUGCCCUGGCUUUCCAUUCCAUUUUCUGAUUUGGAGACAAAAAAAGCCUUGGACCGUAAAUUCAACGUUGAAGGUAUUCCCUGUUUAAUUAUUUUGCAACCUAAGGAUAAUAAGGAUGAGGCAACUUUGCAGGAUGGAGUUGAAAUCCUUUAUCGAUUCGGAGUCCAAGCCUUUCCGUUCACUAAACAGAGACUGCAAGAAUUGGAAUUGCAAGAAAGGGAAAAGCACGAGUGCCAGACCUUAACCAAUUUACUAACAAUCAAUGAUAGAGACUAUCUUUUCGGUCAUCCUGCACCUAAA